Molecule: ribosomal RNA, 751 nt
Filed under: uncultured fungus
Lineage: Eukaryota; Fungi
Description: bacterial SSU rRNA
Rfam family: Eukaryotic small subunit ribosomal RNA
Source: RNAcentral
GUGCCAGCAGCCGCGGUAAUUCCAGUCUCCAAUAGCGUAUAUUAAAGUUGUUGCAGUUAAAAAGCUCGUAGUUGAACCUUGGGCCUGGCUGGCCGGUCCGCCUCACCGCGUGUACUGGUCCGGCCGGGCCUUUCCUCCUGGGGAACCUCAUGCCCUUCACUGGGCGUGUUGGGGAACCAGGACUUUUACUUUGAAAAAAUUAGAGUGUUCAAAGCAGGCCUUUGCUCGAAUACAUUAGCAUGGAAUAAUAGAAUAGGACGUGUGGUUCCAUUUUGUUGGUUUCUAGGACCGCCGUAAUGAUUAAUAGGGAUAGUCGGGGGCAUCAGUAUUCAAUCGUCAGAGGAGAAAUUCUUGGAUUGAUUGAAGACUAACUACUGCGAAAGCAUUUGCCAAGGAUGUUUUCAUUAAUCAGUGAACGAAAGUUAGGGGGAGCGAAGACGAUCAGAUACCGUCGUAGUCUUAACCAUUAAACUAUGCCGACUAGGGGUCGGACGGGGUUAGUAGUUUUGACCCGUUCGGCACCCCACGAGAAAACAAAGUAUUUUUUUCUGCGGGGAGUAUGAUUCGCAAGGCUCAUACUAUAUGAGAUGAUGAAGGGAGAGCCCCACGCGGUGAAGCGUGCGGCUGUUUUUGUCUCAUCACAGGAAACACACCCAGCUCGACACGCAAUAAGGAUUACGGGAUGGUGGGGACCUUCUUUCAUGUUUUAUUGGGGUGGUGCCUGGGCCGCACCUUCCCUAGUUGGGGGCAG